GUGCUUCCGCAUCGUGUGGGCGCAAGAGGAGCACCAGUUCGCCGGAGUUUCGCCUUUCUCCGGCCGUCGAUUUCCGCUGCAUUUUUCCGCCAGAUUGAGGAAGCCUUUUUCGCGAGGAAGACUGGGGUCGUGCUCAUGUAGAUUGAGGAUUUUUUGCACUUUUGCUUUCGUUUUACUGUGGCCUCCUCAAUCGACAUGAGCACUUUUGGGAGAUGCAACUGUAUUCAGUUUGCCACAUCGUCAGACCGCUGAUCUACCUAGUACAUACGAGUUUUUCUAGCCAUUUUUGCAUCUGUAUAUGCAAUGUAUGUUCAUGUGUUUUCGGUGUAUAUACUCUGUAAAUGCAAUGUAUGUUCAGGUGUUUUCGCUGUAUAUACUCUGUACAUGCAAUGUAAGUUCAGGUGUUUUCAGUGUAUAUACUCUGUACAUGCAAUGUAUGUUCA
Molecule: long non-coding RNA, 443 nt
Organism: Lolium rigidum
Lineage: Eukaryota; Viridiplantae; Streptophyta; Magnoliopsida; Poales; Poaceae
Exons: 2
Source: RefSeq, a predicted model, not a curated record